Prunus avium (sweet cherry) is the source of this 391-nucleotide non-coding RNA. The record is from RefSeq and is a predicted model, not a curated record. Lineage: Eukaryota; Viridiplantae; Streptophyta; Magnoliopsida; Rosales; Rosaceae.
UUGAGCUAUGACCAUCAGGUGCUUCUUGAUUACCUUAUUUCAAAAGAUACCGGAAUCAGUUGUGCAGAAUAUCUUUUAAGGUGCUUGCGUAAAGUGUGUGAUUCAUGGAGCUUAUUUGUGGAAUUUCUAGUGGGUGGGCAAGCUACAAAUCAAUCAUUUUGCAAGAAAAGAAAAGUUUCAUUGGGUGGCUCGAGUUCCUGGGGAGAGUAUUCUCUUGCACCAACGAAAAACCAUCUUACAUUUCUUGAUGAUGAACCUGAUGAAGAAAAUGAAAAUGGCUGCAAGCACACCCAAAAUGAAUUUCAUUAUGCUUCCCAGUAAACUAGUGAUUGCUCUUACUAUAGCUUAACAAGAUUUCAGGAACUCUGUUUUGGGGAAGAGAAAUAAACUU